Molecule: long non-coding RNA, 538 nt
Organism: Vidua chalybeata
Lineage: Eukaryota; Metazoa; Chordata; Aves; Passeriformes; Viduidae
Exons: 4
Source: RefSeq, a predicted model, not a curated record
UGGAGGCACCAGGAGGCUCAGAGGUGCUUUGUGUGUGUGCCUCACCACUCCUGAAGCCAUGCAGGGCAGCACAGGAGGAACCUGCAGGGAUAACAUCAGAUGUUGAAAAACUAAACACGAACGCCAGAAAUGCUUCAACUCAAGAAGCCUUCAAGAAAGAAGUAUCUUUUUCGGUUAUGUACACAUCAUUUUUGAAAGGAGACAAGGCUGACAAAAUAAAGGAGGCAAAUAAAAACUUUGCUAAAGAGCACCCUGAUUACAUGCAGCACAAAUUCACAGGUUUUGGCAUCACUGAAAUUUCUGAGAUUUAAAUGGUACCAAAGGCAAAGAAAAAAACCAUAUAUAUCAGGACUGUCCUGAGAACCCUCUCAGGAAGAGCAGAUACGGCUCCUUUUCCUUCACGUGAUGCUGAGAUCAGAAGGCACCUUUCAGUCCUACCAUGGAAGAAGAAACAAAACAAUCUGGGGACAGAACUGGUGAGAAAUAUUGCCAUGGAUUUUAUAAGAAGCACCAGAAUAAAUGUGAGUAGAAAAACCUC